GAUGAACGCUGGCGGCGUGCCUAAUACAUGCAAGUCGAGCGAACGGACGAGAAGCUUGCUUUUCUGAUGUUAGCGGCGGACGGGUGAGUAACACGUGGAUAACCUACCUAUAAGACUGGGAUAACUUCGGGAAACCGUAGCUAAUACCGGAUAAUAUUUUGAACCGCAUGGUUCAAAAGUGAAAGACGGUCUUGCUGUCACUUAUAGAUGGAUCCGCGCUGCAUUAGCUAGUUGGUAAGGUAACGGCUUACCAAGGCAACGAUGCAUAGCCGACCUGAGAGGGUGAUCGGCCACACUGGAACUGAGACACGGUCCAGACUCCUACGGGAGGCAGCAGUAGGGAAUCUUCCGCAAUGGGCGAAAGCCUGACGGAGCAACGCCGCGUGAGUGAUGAAGGUCUUCGGAUCGUAAAACUCUGUUAUUAGGGAAGAACAUAUGUGUAAGUAACUGUGCACAUCUUGACGGUACCUAAUCAGAAAGCCACGGCUAGCUACGUG
This 497-nucleotide ribosomal RNA is filed under the name uncultured bacterium. RNAcentral's name for it is "partial 16S ribosomal RNA". It matches the Rfam family "Bacterial small subunit ribosomal RNA", at positions 28 to 507 of the family's 1533-position model. The record is from RNAcentral.